This 253-nucleotide ribosomal RNA is filed under the name uncultured bacterium. RNAcentral's name for it is "partial 16S ribosomal RNA". It matches the Rfam family "Bacterial small subunit ribosomal RNA", at positions 524 to 776 of the family's 1533-position model. The record is from RNAcentral.
UACGUAGGUGGCAAGCGUUGUCCGGAAUUAUUGGGCGUAAAGAGCUCGUAGGCGGCUUGUCACGUCGGGUGUGAAAGCCCGGGGCUUAACCCCGGGUCUGCAUUCGAUACGGGCUAGCUAGAGUGUGGUAGGGGAGAUCGGAAUUCCUGGUGUAGCGGUGAAAUGCGCAGAUAUCAGGAGGAACACCGGUGGCGAAGGCGGAUCUCUGGGCCAUUACUGACGCUGAGGAGCGAAAGCGUGGGGAGCGAACAGG